This is a long non-coding RNA of Equus caballus (horse), 4979 nucleotides long. NCBI's taxonomy places the organism in Eukaryota, Metazoa, Chordata, Mammalia, Perissodactyla, Equidae. The record is from Ensembl.
GGAAAAGGCAGGUGGAGAAGAGCAGGGCCCUUUGCUCCUCUGGGGCAGAGGGGUCAGCCCCUCAGCAGCCUCCGUGCUCCCCACCUGCCUGCCCUCAGAGCCGGGAGCACAGCCCUCCUCCUUGCUGCUUCCCCAGAGUGUGACAAGGGCAGACCGGGAUCCCUUCCCUUACCCUCAGCAGGACACAAACAGAGGCCACAACCUCUCAGGAGCAAAAAUGAUGUAUUUUGGGAAAAUGGGGGUAGGAAGAUGUAAUUAGCACACAGAGCAUGCAUGGGCUAACAGGAAAAAACAGGUUUUCUCUGCAUCCACGUCAUUGAUUUUUGGAGAAAAGUUUUCCUACAGUGAAAGGUGUGAGAAGCACACUCUGGUUGACCACACGAGACUCCUGUUUGAGGACAGCAUGGUGGGUAGUGGGGGGCUGAGGGACCUGCCACACUUGGCCCAUGCUGGCAGGGUUUAGCUGGGGACCACAGCUCCCCGCGUAGCAAGAUCCACUUGCCAUACUUGCCAUCCCUGUCUCUGGUCCACUUACACUAUUUAGACAGCUGUGGCUCCUGGGGGUGGCUUUGUGACUGUCACCUGUCAUCACUCUUGUCUGCUCUCAAGAGGAUGCACCCCCAUACUAGCAGGAUGCCCAGCUACCCAGGCCUGAAAUUGUUCCUUGUGCUGCUUUAAUUGGGAGAUGUGAAGUCCUCAGCAAAGCCCCAAUUUCUCUCCCAGGGCUAGUCCAAAAGAUGUCACCAUCGGCUGAGCUUCAACAGCCCUGCCGUCUAGAACUGAGCUGUUUCUGACUGGUCCCUGGCUCUGGGCCGUGGCGGAUACAGGCUGGCCUUCUGGAAGGGGAUCUUCUGGUGCUUUGUCUUCUUUACUGGGCUUCAGACAGGGCAGAAGGAGUCUCAUCCUUUUCCUGAAUCAGCAUUCUGGAAAACCUUGUUCCUUCUCUGGCAGGAGCUGGAGGUCUUUGCUCCCAAGGAUGUUUCCUAUUCCGCUGACCAGGGGAGAGUGGCUCAUCCCACUGGCCUGGGAAGCCCCCAGUCCUGGAAAUCUCUCUCCAUCCUCUCCUGGUCCAGGACUCAUAUACUCCUCCUUCUCAGCAACUUGGGGAAGCCGACUCUUCCAUAGGGCCUUACGUUUUGGUCUCCUAGGCUGCUGCUGCCCCUGAAUCCCCUGUCUACUAGAUUGGAGGUCAUAUGGCACCUGGAAAGCUGCCACGUCCCCACUGUUGUAUUCCCUCUGGGACCUGGACAGUGACCAGUGAGAAGCCAACACAUGUGUGGCAUGGAGCACACAAGUGUGAGAGUCUCGAAGGAGCCGGCCAGCAGCAUGGCCUUGAGGCUGGGUCUGACACGACCUUCCCUUGCAGCUCAGUCUUACUGGUGAGCUUCAUUUUCAAGCACAGCUCCUUUGGAUCUUGGGCAACUGACUUUGUAGGUGGUGAGGGGCUUGUCCUGGACCCUGGAGACACUGGAUUCCUCACAGGCACAUUCACGGUUUGGGGAGUUGGCCAGCACACUGGGUCUCAACAUGAGAUGUCAAAGAAGCGCCUCCUCAAACUCCACAAGCUCACUCGGCCCCUCAGCCCCCGAAGACUGGGACCCUGAGCUGCCCUCCAGUCUUGCUACCCCACGGCAGGGAUCUUGUGAGGCCCCACCCUACUCUCCUCCCUUGGCUCAUUCCUGGCCAUUGCUGAACCUGGACUCAACUCUAACUGCCUCGCUCGGCCCCCACGACCGUCCCACUCUGCCAGCUUCUGCCCGGGAGGCUGAGUGUGAAGGUCUGAGAAGGCGGCCUGUCCUCCUGUCCAUCAGAGGGGCCUCUGAGGGCCCACAGCCAUCACCAGGUAGAGUCCCUCCAGGGCCUUCUGGAUUUCCUCACCCACAGGUGAGGGAGCAGAGAGGGGACGGGCCAGGGUAGGAAGUGACUCUUUUGUUAUUAAACUGUUUUGUUUCUCUGGCGGAGGAGGCUGAAGAGGUUUUCUCAAGAACUUGGUAAAGUUGGCUUCCGAGAGGCCCCAGAUUCACAGGUGGCUGAGGAGGGAAAGUGGACCAUGGAAGAGGUCGGGGGUGCUCGGUCAGAGGAGCCAGGGGAACUGCUGGCGACAUGGCGAGGGCAGCAUCUUCCACAGGCUCCCUGCAUGGCUGAUGGGCUCAGCAUAUGCUGUUUUGCGGACCUCCCCAGGGGAGUCUGGACAUGACAGCCAAUGAAAGCCAGCCUUGUGAGAGAGCCUCCCCAGGAACUGCAGGAGACAGGAGGCACAAGCUGCAGCCAGGAGCAGAGGGCCCCAGGAGGGCUGGGCAGGCCAGGCAGUGUGGCCAUUAAGGGCCACGGCCCUCCACAGCCUCAACCCUCAAGUCACAAAAUUCUCCUGUUGUCCCUCACCCCAGGCCUUUAGCCACACCCUGUCCCCAUGGCCCCCUCCCAGCUCAGCCCCAAGCUGCCUACAGCCCUGGAGUCACAUCAGAGGUUCUGGGAGAAAGAAGGACCCAGGAGAGAUGAAAAGAUUCUUGACCUUUGUGGAACAGAAAUCAGGCCCUGCACUUCUAGUCCUUUCCGACCAUCUCUGUAAGCUGGAAAUCAGGAGACUGGGUCACCGUGCUGAAGGCAGGAGCCUAGGGGUCUUACAGGAGGCUGCAAGAAUGUCCCUUUAGGGGCCACAGUUGAGAGGUCAGACUCUGGAGCCCAGGCAUUAUAUCCAAGGCCAUGGGAUCCCUGACGGGGAUGGCAAGGCUCCUGACGGGUUAAGCUUUCUCUUUGACAAAGUGCUUCCACAUCCACCACAGCCCACAGGGCCUACUGGGCAACACCCAUUUCCAGGCCCCUCCACACUUGGGGCUUGCUUCCCAGCACAGACUCUGGCAAGUCUCUGGGUUCUCAUCUCCUUCCUGGGAGCUUCCCAGAGGGCUCUGUUUCCUGAGGGACAGGCUCUGCCCCUGGCAUCCUCAGAGCCCGUGGAGCUGGGCGCUCAGGGACAGGAGAUGGAGGCCAGCUCUGGGACACAGGGCUGAAUGGCAGAAGCUCACCUUGCAAAAUUCCACUUUUCCUCCUACUCCUGCUGCUCCUCCCUCUCGGCUGCUCUUGAUGCUGAGAAGCAAGAAAAAACAAAAGACACCAGGGGCUGAGACCCAGGGCUCCCUCUCCUCUGUCUAGGCCAGCUGCAGACGCUCAGUGUCCAUGAGCAAGAGGACCUUCUAUACUGAACUCCUGGAGCUCUGUGGUCUUUCUUCCCUUUUGAACAUAAAAUGGAUAUUUGCUGUCUUCCUUCUUUGAAGAACAUAAGGAUUUUCUGUGUGAGACCCACCAUGGAUUUCUUCCAUCACUGUCCUCUGCUCAAGAAACACGCACCUUCUCAGACGUACAGAUGCUUCUGAGCUUCUCAGGCAGGAUUCUGCUUCCUGAGGCCAGAGCCCCACUCCAGGCCCUGCUCGGAGGCUCUCGGGGGCUCAGCACUGCUCUAAGAUCAGCCCCCACGAGGAAAGGUCCGGCUCAUCCACCUGCCACGGGGAGGCAGAUGGGGAACCAGUGCUCAGGGCCUGUCUGCCCACACAGGUCCCACUCAGCAUCCAGUCCUCGGCCGCUGGUCACUGCACUGGGGAGUUUCCCUGGAGCCCUCUGCCACACCUGGACUCAUGCUCCGAGAUCUUCGCAUGGAAAUCCUUGUGCCUACUCUAAGUCCUGCCUCCCCACCUGGCUUGUCCCUAGAAGGGUGAUGUUCUAUUCUUGCCCAUUCCAGGACCAGGAGUCUCUCUAGUUGAUUCAGAAAAGUGGACAUCACAGUAGAAAAGAAGAGAGAAUCAACUUCUGGUGGGUCUUGGCCAAGGGUUCCUCACCUUCCUCAUGUUUCUACGUUUGCAAGGUGGUCGUGAAGAUGGAUUAUUCUGGACGUAGGGAAGGAACAUGAGGAAGAACCCCAGUCCACACUGGAAGCUCACCAGCACACCAACAAGUCUCCAGCAGAGUAAGAGCGAAUCACAGCCAAAAGAACAGACUUUCUCUGUGGAGAACUUAGGGAAGCCCAAAGUCAGGAGGGGAGAUACGAACAAGGACACUGCAGGAAUCUGGAGCCUCUGGCACCGAUAUUACCACAGACAUUAAACAUGGCCCAACUGAUAAAGAUCAGAAAGUUGGAUCUACACAAAGGAGGAGCUUCCAAGAAGGAAUUAAUGAGGAUGGGGAGUCGAUUUGGAUUACAGGACACUCUGGAGUAGGAGAAAGAGUAAGGUUGAGUGAAUGCCUCUGAACGGAGCCAACUGCCUGAUUCCCACCACCAGGUCCUUAUAAAGUCAUCUUCACCGAUGGAACGGCCAGCUGUGGGUCAGACAUCACAAUUAUCAUUAGGACCAAAAGCUGGGUAAACUUUUAGAGGGACUACCUUGGAAGUACAGACAAAGGCAAGACAAAAUUGAGAAGAGGCCUUUUAAUAAUUUGAAAACUGAUCAUAUUUACAACAUAUGUAUCAAUAGCAGGAAAACGCUCGUGGGGGAAUUACCUAAUAACUAUCAAUGUAGGGAUAGCAUCUACAAUUCAGUCAUUCUCAGAUUUUUCAGUGAAAUGUUCCCUAACCAUGAGGAAAGUAGACCUAUAUGUGGAUGAGAGCCUGGCGUGCAGCCAGAGGCAGUCAUCUCAAGCCUGAAAUAUCUGUAAAAUUUACAUAAAUGUUGCAUUAUACUCCAGAAUAGAGCUAUGUUUAUUGUGACAUAGCAGUAUUGCUUCCAAUUUAAAAAUUUUAGUUAAAAUCCUUUGAAAUAUUAAGCAGUUUAAGCAAAACUGACCUCCAGGACGAGGAUUGCUCUAUGGCCCAGGCAUACAUACAUCCCUGGCACGGAGCACCCCACUGUGAGAAGCAUAGCUCUACAUUUUCUUAAGACAUUCAAAUUAAAUCUUUCUUUUAAAAAAAAUGUCUAAACUCCAACACUGAGUCUUUGCUCAAACGAUCCCUUCCAUCUGGAACACUUUUCCUAGCCUUUCCCAUGAAUCUC